This 195-nucleotide ribosomal RNA is filed under the name Micrococcus luteus. RNAcentral's name for it is "partial 23S ribosomal RNA". It matches the Rfam family "Bacterial large subunit ribosomal RNA", at positions 2739 to 2925 of the family's 2925-position model. The record is from RNAcentral. Lineage: Bacteria; Bacillati; Actinomycetota; Actinomycetes; Micrococcales; Micrococcaceae.
GGCUGAUUAGCUACGUUCGGGAUGGAUAACCGCUGAAAGCAUCUAAGCGGGAAGCCGGCUUCGAGAUGAGAUUUCCUUGCCCCUUUGAGGGUGUGAGGCCCCCAGCUAGAACACUGGGUUGAUAGGCUGGAUGUGGAAGCGAGGACUGAAGACUCGUGAAGCUGACCAGUACUAAUAGGCCGAUGACUUACACAC